AGGCUAUUGGCUCCACAAGACUGGCAGAGUAUACUGUAAUUCAUUACCGUCUUGCAACCCUGUCAGAACUCAGAAAAAGUGCAUGGCUUUCUACCAGGGCAAAGCUCUUAGAAAAAAUCCUGUAUCCUUGUGUCUUUCUCAUACACAAAGCAAGCUUAUCAACAUUCUCUGCACUAUGAGAGAGGUCUAUUGGAAUUUCCAUUUUAGCUGCCACAUAAGCUGUCAGCUGAAUGUGUGGUUACUUUCAUGUUUACCUGAAUGAACCAGGAUAUUCAGGCAGUUUAAAAACACACUCAGAUGUGAGACAGCAAGCAGCAGCAGACUUCAUUACCAGAAGCAGGGAAGAUACACACAGGCAAGAUCAAGAGACAUCUAAUGGAUUUCCCUCUAUUGAUUCAUAACAGCAAUGGCUUGGGUUCGUUUACCAUCUCCAUGUGGUUUUUGAGGGUCACAAUUCCUCUCCACAAAUUUUCAAACUGGAAAGGAGAGCAGAUUGAAAACUAAUUCCCCCACACCAACCAUUUCCAGGUGUGGGAAGUUCUGUGUAUGGAAUGCAGCUCUCAAUUGACAUGGUCUUUCCUGGUUUCAUUUGGUUUCAUUUGCAUACUGCCUUUCUCUCAGAAACAGGGAGACAAGAGCAAGGCUAAUGACAUCAAGAACAGCUUAAAGGAACUUAUGAGAACAGGAUUUCAGUAUGUCAACAAACAAUUUCAUUCCAAUAAAAGCUGUGUAAGAAGACUGUACGUGCAUACUUAUUUCCAGCAUCAAGACUGCUACAGUCUUCCAGGCUUUGGUGAGCUUGCAACAUUCUCUUAUGUCCAUCUCUUUUCAUCCGUGUGAGCUUCCUUCUGAAUCUGGCUAGUAUUCCAUGGCUGACAACCCAGGUAUACUUGCCUGGAAAUAGUAGACUCACUUGAAGUAGGCAUCAGGUAAGGAGGUGUAUUUCUGAGAGGACAGGUAUAGGGGUACAGGGUUAGGCCUUAAUCCCACACAUACAUACUUUUGAGCAGACCUAUUUUGGAUCUCACUGUGGCUCAGUGGCCUCAGCAUCUGCCGAUGACCAACUAUCCCCAGGAAUGGCCUGGCACUAACAAUCAGAGCACAGUGCCAUCUGCUGCAGUAACUCUUGAUGACAGAUGUCACCGCUGUUGGACAGUUACUGUCACAUGUGACAUUUCAAUUGUGACCUAAAAUUGAUUACCUUACUUUUUGGAAGAAGAAGAAAAGACCAGCAAAUAACUAUGCUAAUCAAAAUGUACCAGGUCGCAGAGGUCACCCUCAAACUGCCAAGGUAUGCAUCAAUUGGGCAACAAAACACUCUCCAGGUAUUCUCUCAGAAGGGCUGAAUCUCUACCAAAAAUAUUGAACAUA
Molecule: long non-coding RNA, 1371 nt
Filed under: Pogona vitticeps (central bearded dragon)
Lineage: Eukaryota; Metazoa; Chordata; Lepidosauria; Squamata; Agamidae
Description: lncRNA (ENSPVIG00000003078.1)
Source: RNAcentral